UGUGGGUUGUGAAUAACAAUCCGUGCCGUCGCAAACGCAAUAAGUACCCCGCCUGAGGAGUACGAUCGCAAGAUUAAAACUCAAAGGAAUUGACGGGGACCCGCACAAGCAGCGGAGCAUGUGGUUUAAUUCGAUGCAACGCGAAGAACCUUACCUGGGCUUGACAUGUUCCCGACGGUCGUAGAGAUACGGCUUCCCUUCGGAGCGGGUUCACAGGUGGUGCAUGGUCGUCGUCAGCUCGUGUCGUGAGAUGUUGGGUUAAGUCCCGCAACGAGCGCAACCCUCGCCCCGUGUUGCCAGCGGAUUAUGCCGGGAACUCACGGGGGACCGCCGGGGUUAACUCGGAGGAAGGUGGGGAUGACGUCAGAUCAUCAUGCCCCUUACGUCCAGGGCUUCACGCAUGCUACAAUGGCCGGUACAACGGGAUGCGACGCGGCGACGCGGAGCGGAUCCCUGAAAACCGGUCUCAGUUCGGAUCGCAGUCUGCAACUCGACUGCGUGAAGGCGGAGUCGCUAGUAAUCGCGAAUCAGCAACGUCGCGGUGAAUGCGUUCCCGGGCCUUGUACACACCGCCCGUCAAGUCAUGAAAGUGGGCAGCACCCGAAGCCUGUGGGCUAACC
RNAcentral lists this ribosomal RNA (620 nucleotides) under Candidatus Arthromitus sp. SFB-mouse. Its description in RNAcentral is "bacterial SSU rRNA". It matches the Rfam family "Bacterial small subunit ribosomal RNA", at positions 821 to 1440 of the family's 1533-position model. Lineage: Bacteria; Bacillati; Bacillota; Clostridia; Eubacteriales; Clostridiaceae. The record is from RNAcentral.